AUUGAACGCUGGCGGCAUGCUUUACACAUGCAAGUCGAACGGCAGCGCGGGCUUCGGCCUGGCGGCGAGUGGCGAACGGGUGAGUAAUACAUCGGAACGUGCCCAGUUGUGGGGGAUAGCUCGGCGAAAGCCGGAUUAAUACCGCAUACGACCUGAGGGUGAAAGCGGGGGAUCUUCGGACCUCGCGCUAUUGGAGCGGCCGAUGGCAGAUUAGCUAGUUGGUGGGGUAAAGGCCUACCAAGGCGACGAUCUGUAGCUGGUCUGAGAGGACGACCAGCCACACUGGGACUGAGACACGGCCCAGACUCCUACGGGAGGCAGCAGUGGGGAAUUUUGGACAAUGGGCGAAAGCCUGAUCCAGCAAUGCCGCGUGUGUGAUGAAGGCCUUCGGGUUGUAAAGCACUUUUGGCGGGAACGAAAAGGACUGUGCCAAUACCACGGUUUGAUGACGGUACCCGCAGAAUAAGCACCGGCUAACUACGUG
Molecule: ribosomal RNA, 484 nt
Filed under: uncultured bacterium
Lineage: Bacteria
Description: partial 16S ribosomal RNA
Rfam family: Bacterial small subunit ribosomal RNA
Source: RNAcentral